RNA transcript from Amphiprion ocellaris (clown anemonefish), 1530 nucleotides. It is a transcript of the gene named cholesterol 25-hydroxylase, with no coding region annotated. The transcript is spliced from 3 exons. Lineage: Eukaryota; Metazoa; Chordata; Actinopteri; Pomacentridae. The record is from RefSeq and is a predicted model, not a curated record.
AUCUGAUUCAUUCAUUUAUGAGACGCCUCGACUCAAAGCGGGUCCAUCUGAGAGCAGAUCUUCCUGUGAUAGGAGCCACAAACCGACACCAUGCUGCUGCAGCCUUUCUGGAGCUUCCUGCUGGGACACGCCUCCCUGCUCUGCUCGCCCUUCUUCCCCGUCGUCUUCUCGCUGUCCGUCUACCUGUCCUGCUGCCUGCCCUACCUGCUGCUGGACGCCCUGGCCUCCAGGUGUGCUCUGGUGCGCAGGUACAAGCUGCAGCCGGCCUCCGUGGGCUCGGCCUCGCCGGGCGUCUGCCUGGCUCUGACGCUCUACAACCACCUGCUCUUCAUCUUCCCGCUCAGCGUGCUGCACUGGUACCUGAGGCCGGUACACCUGCCUGAACAGGCCCCGCCCCUGCCCCGCCUCCUGGCCCAGGUGUUCGUCUGUCUGUUGCUCUUUGACUUCCAGAGCUUCACCUGGCACCUGCUGCACCACAGAGUGCCCUGGCUCUACCGCACCUUCCACAAGGUGCACCACACCUUCAGCUCCACCUCGGCCCUGACAGCGGAGUACACUGGAGCCUGGGAGACCCUCAGCCUGGGCUUGUUUGCCGCCUCCACCCCGGUGCUGCUGGGCACCCACCCGCUGACCCAGCUGCUGUUCUUCGUGGUGAACAUCUGGCUGUCGGUGGAGGACCACUGCGGCUACGACCUGCCCUGGGCCACCCACCGCCUGGUGCCUCUGGGGCUGUUCGGCGGCGCCCGGCACCACGACCUGCACCACCUCAGGUCCCGCUGCAACUACGCCCCCUACUUCACCCACUGGGACCGGCUGGCCGGGACGCUGUGCACACAGUACUGAUGGACUGGAGAGGUUCUGCAGAUUUUCCAGGACCAGCAGGACCUUCUAAAGAGACACUCUGUUUGUUCACACAGUAUUUAAAGCUAUGUAUUUAUUACCAUAUUUAUUAAUGAAGAAAUGUACCAAUGUUUUCAUGUUAAAGGUGCUCCUCCAGCAACCAAUCAGCUCAACUAUUUCAUCUCCUGUUCUCAUCAUCCCUCAGUCUGAGUCAGUUUUAAUGGAAACUGUCCAGUUUCUGAGUCUGAGGCUCAUUCAAUGUGAAUAUUUUCCGUUUUCUUUCUUCUUCUAUGGCAGUAAACUGAAGAUCUUGGAUGUUUUUCAAACUCUCUAUAAUUUUCUGACAUUUUCUGGAAGCAGCUGAUUAAACAUCCAGAAAAUGAUCCAGAACAGCUGAUAGCUACUGGAAGCUGGAAUGAAGGUUCUGAGCUGCAAUUUAAAGGUUCUGUAAGUAGGCAGCUCAUCUUUACUCUUCUAAAUGGACAGAAUGGAAUAUACAGGUAGAUGUACAGGUGAAUAUACAGGUAGAUACAGGAAAAUAAGCAGGUAGAUAUACAGGUAGAUGUACAGGUAGAUACAGAUGUGCUCAGGAGCAUCUGUUUGAAGGAAGUGAAGGUGUUUAAAUGUGACUGAAUUGUGAAACUGUGUUUUUAAGCUGUGAAGAGAAUAAAGUUUAUGAUGAAAAACAAA